GUUUUCUGUGAGAUUUGGAGGUCCGAAUAGAAACUCUCUAUGAGAACUGGGAUUAGAUAGAAGAUCUUGCAUGUUCUCAUUAGUUAGCAUUAAAUAAUGCAGAGAAGUUUGAGUUAAAUUUACUUUCCUAGCUAAUGUCCCGGUAAUAUGAACAUCAUCUAUCCAGAAGUAUGGCUCUUUCUGCGCUUCACGAUACAAAAGAAAUACGCUAUCAGGAGAGUACAAUAUAGCCCAUCCUGCGCAAUAUGCAGGAUAAUGUCUACCAGGAUAUUCUUGAGGGGAGACUCUCCACUUAGAUCGCCAAGAUCUCUUCACGGUACCUGUGGGGUGGAGAUCGCAAAGGAUCAAUCGCCUGGCUCCCCAUGGUGAUAGAUCACGCGUCAAGAAAUCCAACAUGGCAGAUGAGCCAACGAAGAAGAGGAGCGCCACAUUUGACGAUUGCUGGCCCCAGGUUUCCCUGACUACAUUUCUCUUCACAAAAUUCUCUGGAGCCGAGUGAACCAACAUCAACAACAAUAGAUGUGUUCCGUUACAUGGAUUAUUGUUGAUCGUGAACCGAAAGUCUUUUAUAUCAAUAAGAGUUGAUUUGUCACCGAACGGAAGUUCGUGUAAUAAGUAUGGCUGCGGAGAGGGUGUCACGUUUCCGGGUAAGAUUAAUAGAUAUCCCGGUGCCGAUACGCCACUGCUGUAUGGCGUCGGUGAACCGGAAUUGUCGAUGUGAAGCCAGAAGGAGAAGCAUCCAGUCAGUGCCAAAGCGACCACAAAAAUCAGAGUGCAAGGCGACGUACCGGAGGCAUGGAGUCGCCGCUUAUCCAGCAUACUAAAAAGUCCCUUACAUCAUACAAAUCUGAGUCCGGCUAAAAAAAUAAACAUAAAAGAUUAAUCACUUAUAUUAUAUAAUCAAUUAUAUUUUAUCUUAAAUAUUUACUUUUAUAUAUGAAUUAAUAUGGAUUAAUAGUUUAUUUUGUAUAUUUUUAAUAUAGACAAUUGUAAAAGAAUCCGUUGUCGGUACUGAACUGGUUCAAAUUAUUUCGAACUUGUUUCGAGAACAACAGUUAUUUCGUAUCAUUAGAAAACAUGUGUGGCGCAUCUGUUGCUAUAAAUACUAUCUUUUAUUUUGCUUAUAUAUAUUUUUAAUAGAUAACAAUUUGUAAAAUGUUAUUGUGUGGAUAGUGAUAAUAUAAAAUAACACAAUUGAUAAAUUUUCAAUUAAUUAUAAUAAUUAUAAUCAACUAAUAAAUUAAAUUUGAAUAUCAA
Apis florea (little honeybee) is the source of this 1257-nucleotide long non-coding RNA. The record is from RefSeq and is a predicted model, not a curated record. NCBI's taxonomy places the organism in Eukaryota, Metazoa, Arthropoda, Insecta, Hymenoptera, Apidae.